This 119-nucleotide ribosomal RNA is filed under the name Pteropus alecto (black flying fox). Lineage: Eukaryota; Metazoa; Chordata; Mammalia; Chiroptera; Pteropodidae. The record is from RNAcentral.
GUCUACAGCCAUGCCACCCUGAACAAGCCCGAUCCUGUCUCACCUUGGUAGCUAAGCAGGGUCGGGCCUGGUUAGUACUUGGAUGGGAAACCACCUAGGAAGACCAGGUGCUGUAGGCG